UUUUCACUUCAAAGUGCCUGCUUUUCCCUGCCUGAAAAGCCUCCUGUUUGCUCCAGACCACCCGACCAAUUCCUGUGCAGUGGGAGCCACCAGGCAGUCUGAGCUCAGGAGUUUUGACUUAGGAGCCCAAUCCUACAUCUUUACUUUUUUAGAGAGAGAGUGGAUUUGAAUCUUGAAACAGAAGCAGACAGGGCCCUGGAUUCUGACACCGACAGCGGCUGCAA
This 224-nucleotide long non-coding RNA is filed under the name Cyanistes caeruleus (blue tit). Its description in RNAcentral is "lncRNA (ENSCCEG00000014228.1)". Lineage: Eukaryota; Metazoa; Chordata; Aves; Passeriformes; Paridae. The record is from RNAcentral.